Molecule: non-coding RNA, 69 nt
Organism: Rattus norvegicus (Norway rat)
Lineage: Eukaryota; Metazoa; Chordata; Mammalia; Rodentia; Muridae
Source: Rfam
GGGGAUUUGGCUCAGUGGUAGAGCGCUUGCCUAGCAAGCACAAGGCCCUGGGUGCGGUCCCCAGCUCCG